This 256-nucleotide ribosomal RNA is filed under the name uncultured bacterium. Its description in RNAcentral is "partial 16S ribosomal RNA". It matches the Rfam family "Bacterial small subunit ribosomal RNA", at positions 524 to 776 of the family's 1533-position model. The record is from RNAcentral.
UACGGGGGGGAGCAAGCGUUGUUCGGAUUUACUGGGCGUAAAGGGCGCGUAGGCGGCGUGACAAGUCACUUGUGAAAUCUCCGGGCUUAACUCGGAAAGGUCAAGUGAUACUGUCGGACUAGAGUACAGAAGGGGCAACUGGAAUUCUCGGUGUAGCGGUGAAAAUGCGUAGAUAUCGAGAGGAACACCUGCGGCGAAGGCGGGUUGCUGGGCUGAUAACUGACGCUGAGGCGCGAAAGCUAGGGGAGCGAACGGG